RNAcentral lists this ribosomal RNA (1058 nucleotides) under Angulamoeba microcystivorans. RNAcentral describes it as "SSU rRNA". It matches the Rfam family "Eukaryotic small subunit ribosomal RNA", at positions 408 to 1443 of the family's 1831-position model. The record is from RNAcentral. Lineage: Eukaryota; Evosea; Variosea.
GCUACUACUUCCAAGGAAGGCAGCAGGCGCGAAAAUUGCCAAACCAACUAAGUUGGAGGCAGUGACAAUAAAAUAUCUGCGGGUUCUAUGAAUCCGACUGGAAUGAGAUGGAUGUAAACAAUCCUACGAGUAUCAAUUGGAGGAAAAGUCUGGUGCCAGCACCCGCGGUAAUUCCAGCUCCAAGAGCGUAUAUUCAAGUUGCUGCAGUUAAAAAGCUCGUAGUUGGGUGGGGGAUGAAAGGUAGAAGGAGAAGGGGAACCGGAUCUGGAAACUUUUUAUCCAUUUAUGGAGAGUAGCUUGWUAGAUGACCUUAACUGGUUGUUUGAUAUAGCCUCUCCCGUUGACCGUGCUUAAAUUCGCGUGUUCAAAGCAAGCAAUUUCGCUUGAAGAGUCUAGCAUGGGAUCAUAAAAUAUGAAGUUUACUCAAUUGUCUAUCUCUUGAGUAUGACUUAAUGACAAAUAGGGGCAAGCGGGGGCGGAGGGAUUCCGUUGUUAGAGGUGAAAUUCUUAGACCAACGGAGGACCAACAGAAGCCAAAGCGUCCGUCAAGGGUGUACCCAUUGAUCAAGAACGAAAGUUAGGGGAUCAAAUACGAUCAGACACCGUAGUAGUCCUAACCUUAAACGAUACCGACCGGGGAUGGGGAGAGGUAAUACUCUUAACCCUUCCUGUACCCUGCGAGAAAUCAAGAGUGUUUGGGUUCCGGGGGGAGUACGGUCGCAAGGCUGAAACUUAAAGGAAUUGACGGAAGGACACACAAGAAGUGGAACCUGCGGCUUCCAAUUCGACUCAACACGGGAAAACUUACCAGGUCCAGACAUGGGAAGGAUGGACAGAUUGAUAGCUCUUUCUUGAUUCCAUGAGUGGUGGUGCAUGGCCGUUCUUAGUUGGUGGAGUGAUUUGUCUGGUUGAUUCCGAUAACGAACGAGACCACGAGAGGGUGGUUGAGGUUGUAGAUGAGGAAUGAAAAUGGGGGAAGGGUUAAUUGUAACUGGCUUCGGUUAGUUCGGUUAAUUUGGAACCUUUGUUCCUUUCUAUACUUACCUACCCCGACCGAA